GUGGGGAAUCUUGCGCAAUGGGCGAAAGCCUGACGCAGCCAUGCCGCGUGAAUGAUGAAGGUCUUAGGAUUGUAAAAUUCUUUCACCGGGGACGAUAAUGACGGUACCCGGAGAAGAAGCCCCGGCUAACUUCGUGCCAGCAGCCGCGGUAAUACGAAGGGGGCUAGCGUUGCUCGGAAUUACUGGGCGUAAAGGGCGCGUAGGCGGAUCGGUAAGUCAGGGGUGAAAUCCCAGAGCUCAACUCUGGAACUGCCCUUGAUACUGGCGAUCUUGAGUGUGAGAGAGGUAUGUGGAACUCCGAGUGUAGAGGUGAAAUUCGUAGAUAUUCGGAAGAACACCAGUGGCGAAGGCGACAUACUGGCUCAUUACUGACGCUGAGGCGCGAAAGCGUGGGGAGCAAACAGGAUUAGAUACCCUAGUAGUCC
Molecule: ribosomal RNA, 425 nt
Filed under: uncultured bacterium
Lineage: Bacteria
Description: partial 16S ribosomal RNA
Rfam family: Bacterial small subunit ribosomal RNA
Source: RNAcentral